RNAcentral lists this ribosomal RNA (309 nucleotides) under uncultured bacterium. RNAcentral's name for it is "bacterial SSU rRNA". It matches the Rfam family "Bacterial small subunit ribosomal RNA", at positions 28 to 334 of the family's 1533-position model. The record is from RNAcentral.
GACAAACGCUGGCGGCGUGCCUAACACAUGCAAGUCGAACGGGGUAAAGAGCUUCGGUUUUUACUUAGUGGCGAACGGGUGAGUAACGCGUGAGGAACCUGCCUUUCAGUGGGGGACGAACAGUUGGAAACGACUGCUAAUACCGCAUAAUGCAUUUAGGGGGCGAUCCCCUGAAUGCCAAAGCUUUAUGUGCUGAAAGAUGGUCUCGCGUCUGAUUAGCUAGUUGGUGGGGUAACGGCCCACCAAGGCGACGAUCAGUAGCCGGUCUGAGAGGAUGAACGGCCACAUUGGGACUGAGAUACGGCCCAG